GUGCGAUAGGGACUCCCAGUGCUCAGGCAUAGCCUGGGCUUUUGCCAAGUGUAAACAGCUUGGCGAAUAAGUGGUGGGUAAGACGGGUGCCAGCCGCCGCGGUAACACCUGCGCCACAAGUGGGAAUCGCAUUUAUUGGGCCUAAAGCGUUCGUAGCCGGAUAAGAAAGUCUCGGGUGAAAUCGUUGCGCUUAACAAAACGACGUGCUUGAGAUACUACUUAUCUAGGGACCGGGAGGCGGUAGGAGUAUUCCUGAGGGAGCGGUAAAAUGGAGCUGAAUUCAGAGUGCUGAGUGCAGCUCACUUACAGUGCUAUAAUCUCAGGAGGACUACCUGUGGCGAAGGCGCCUACCGAGAACGGGUCCGACGGUGAGGAACGAAAGCUAGGGGAGCAAACCGGAUUAGAUACCCGAGUCGUCCUAGCUGUAAACGCUGUGAACUAGAUGUUACAUAUCCCUCGUGGAUAUGUAGUGUCGAAGCGAAGGUAUUAAGUUCACCGCCUGGGAAGUACGGUCGCAAGGCUGAAACUUAAAGGAAUUGGCGGGAGAGCACCACAAGGGGUGCGGCGUGCGGUUCAAUUUAACUCAACGCAGAGCAUCUCACCAGCAGCGACGGCAGAAUGAAGGUCAGUCUGAAGGGCUUACCCAACGAGCCGAGAGGUAUUGCAUGGCCGUCGUCAGCUCGUGCCGUAAGGUGUCCUCUUAAGUGAGGUAACGAGCGAGACCCAUACCCAUAAUUGCCAGCAGGUUCUUCGGAACGACUGGGCACGUUAUGGGAACUGCCUGGGAAACCAGGAGGAAGGUGUGGGCCACGGUAGGUCUGUAUGGUCCGAAUCUGCUGGGCUACACGCGCGCAACAAUGGCCAGGACAAUGGGAUGCAACGCCGAAAGGCGGAGCUAAACCUCUAAACCUGGUCCUAGUUUGGAUUGAGGAUUGUAAUUCAUCCUCAUGACAUCGGAAUCCCUAGUAAUCGGUCCUCAUCAUAGACCGGUGAAUAUGUCCCUG
Molecule: ribosomal RNA, 1004 nt
Filed under: uncultured euryarchaeote
Lineage: Archaea; Methanobacteriati; Methanobacteriota
Description: bacterial SSU rRNA
Rfam family: Archaeal small subunit ribosomal RNA
Source: RNAcentral